RNAcentral lists this transfer RNA (72 nucleotides) under Ilumatobacteraceae bacterium. RNAcentral's name for it is "tRNA-Cys". It matches the Rfam family "tRNA". From Rfam's summary of the family: Transfer RNA (tRNA) molecules are approximately 80 nucleotides in length. RNAcentral also lists the same sequence under 1 other name. Lineage: Bacteria; Bacillati; Actinomycetota; Acidimicrobiia; Acidimicrobiales; Ilumatobacteraceae. The record is from RNAcentral.
GGCGACGUGGCCGAGUGGCUUAGGCAACGGCCUGCAAAGCCGUGUACGCGAGUUCGAUUCUCGCCGUCGCCU